CAAAGAUAUGCAAGCCAUGUUCCUGCACCCUGGAGAUGCAGCUGACCAUGCAAAGUGGUGCUCAAUAAUCCGAAAAGCGGACCCUACACCUGGGGGAAUAUUCUGGAAAGAAGAUGGAAUGGUACAUGUCAUAGGCAGUACUUGACUUAUGACCACAAUUGAGCCCAAACUUUCUGUUGCUAAGUGAGACAUUUGUUUGAAUGCAAGAAUGCAGAAAACCAAUCUCCUGAGCCUCUUAGAUUAUGACCAAUGUGUAUGAGACUCAUACAAAGGCUACUUUCAAGGUCCUUACAGAAGGGAAAUUCUCUAGCAGUUUCUCAAGAACACACUGUUCGCAGCAGCAAUUACACAGCUUUUUGGAAAAAUGGAAAAUGGCAGGAGCAGCUGUGCUUGCAAUCUAGCAAUCACUUGGCAUAUAUGCAAACACCAAAAUCAUGUAGAGUAUUUGGAGAUAACUCUUUACGAUGCUAAUCUUUUCCUAGAGGAAAAAGGAAAGACAUUUACAAUGUUUUUUUUUAAUGUAGAUUACAAAAUAUUUGUUUUUGUUAUAUUCUGAUUCUAUAUUAAAACCAGACCAUUUUAAAGCUUACUGUAGAUAAAUAAUUUGAGAAAUGAAAUUACUUUUUUA
This is a long non-coding RNA of Pantherophis guttatus, 628 nucleotides long. RefSeq lists it as uncharacterized. NCBI's taxonomy places the organism in Eukaryota, Metazoa, Chordata, Lepidosauria, Squamata, Colubridae. The record is from RefSeq and is a predicted model, not a curated record.